UAUCUCUGUAGAGUCUGCAUAUCAAUAAGCGGAGGAAAAGAAACUAACUAGGAUUCCCUCAGUAACGGCGAGUGAAGCGGGAAGAGCUCAAAUUUGAAAUCUUCAAGGUUCUACCUUGACGAAUUGUAGUUUAAAGAAGUGUUUUCUGUUGAAGUUUCGGUAAAAGUUCUUUGGAAUAGGACAUCAUAGAGGGUGCGAAUCCCGUAUUUGACCGUUAUUUUCAGCUGUGUGAUACACUUUCAAAGAGUCGGAUUGUUUGGGAAUGCAGUCCAAAAUGGGUGGUAAAUUUCAUCUAAAGCUAAAUACUGGCGAGAGACCGAUAGCGAACAAGUACCGUGAGGGAAAGAUGAAAAGAACUUUGAAAAGAGAGUUAAACAGUACGUGAAAUUGUCAAAAGGGAAGCGUUUGACACCAGUGUUGUUUUCUCGAAAAUCAAUUAAAAAUGGCAGGAUUUUGUGUUGUAUUGACUUUAUCAGCUUUCUGCACUUUUUUCUUGUCUUUUUUAAUGCACUUUUCGUUUAACAAGUCAACAUCAAUUUCUUUUGUUGUAAAAGAGUCAUUGGAAGGUGGCUUUCUUUUCGGAGAAAGUGUUUAUAGCCUUUGGCUUCUGCAAUCGGAGAGAUUGAGGUCUGCAGCGUAGAUCCUUCGGGGUUAGGAUACAUUUGUGCUAAGUUAUAGCCUUUCAUAGACAACUUGUUGACUAUGAUCAGUCAUGUAGCUUACUCGCUUAUGCUAUUUUACCUACGCUUAGGAUGUUGAUCUCUCACAGUCGAGC
Molecule: ribosomal RNA, 775 nt
Filed under: uncultured Neocallimastigales
Lineage: Eukaryota; Fungi; Neocallimastigomycota; Neocallimastigomycetes; Neocallimastigales
Description: partial large subunit ribosomal RNA
Rfam family: Eukaryotic large subunit ribosomal RNA
Source: RNAcentral